This 70-nucleotide transfer RNA is filed under the name Dipodomys ordii (Ord's kangaroo rat). It matches the Rfam family "tRNA". From Rfam's summary of the family: Transfer RNA (tRNA) molecules are approximately 80 nucleotides in length. Their secondary structure includes four short double-helical elements and three loops (D, anti-codon, and T loops). The record is from Rfam by way of RNAcentral. Lineage: Eukaryota; Metazoa; Chordata; Mammalia; Rodentia; Heteromyidae.
GGUAAUGUGGCUUAGUGGUAGAGUGCUUGCCUAGCUUGCAUGAAGUCCUGGGUUCGAUUCCUCAGUACCA